AACGCAUCCUUACUUUUCCUCUUACCCUUUCGCAUUUCUCUGUUCUCUCUCUCGUCGCGACAUGUGAAAUCCGGAUCGAGGCAUUCCAUGCCGGCGGAGGCAGAUCGCGGAGGCGUGCCGCGUGCGGCUCCUGGCGGAGGAGUGGAGGCGCGUCGGAGCCGUGCGCCCCUCCCUCCGUCAGCAUGUGCGCGCGCUGCCAUGGUGGCUCCGCCCUAGGCUGUGGCCGGCGGUGGCGAACUGAAAGCUGAAGAGGCAUUUAACGAGUUAUGCCGACGCCCCUUGCAAUCCCUGCCUCUCACGUCCCUCUCCUCCAAGUCCUCAGGUCCCAGCCUUCUGAUGAUGUCCGAGGACUCUACUUCAAGGGUGAUGGUCAUGCCAGUAAAGGUCAUUGAUCAAUAUUUGCAUGCCACCCCUUUCAGUCUCUCAAAAGGAAAAUGGAAGUGUUGGUGUAUCUGUUGUGUACCAUCAAGCAGUACUACACUGCAUUAGCUAUACCCGAUCAGGAGUUAAAAAAAAAAAGAAAGAAAGAGCACAUCGAGGAAGGAAAAGCAAAUAAUCCUAGUUUUUGUGAGAGGCCCCAAAGUGCAUAAAGUCUUAAACUAGGGUCUGGAAAUAGUAUUGUCAUAUAUAUGGUUUAAUAUUUGUAUUUUGUUGUCAGUACUUGUAACUUUUUUAUCUAUAUUUUUAUUGUCACCUUAAGAAUUACAUGUAACUUUUUAAUUUGUUGUUCUUCCCAUUCCCAU
Long non-coding RNA from Panicum virgatum (switchgrass), 743 nucleotides. RefSeq lists it as uncharacterized. Lineage: Eukaryota; Viridiplantae; Streptophyta; Magnoliopsida; Poales; Poaceae. The transcript is spliced from 3 exons. The record is from RefSeq and is a predicted model, not a curated record.